ACGCUCGACACCUACGGGGGCAGCAGUGGGGAAUAUUGCACAAUGGGGGAAACCCUGAUGCAGCGACGCCGCGUGAGCGAAGAAGUAUUUCGGUAUGUAAAGCUCUAUCAGCAGGGAAGAAGAAAGACGGUACCUGACUAAGAAGCCCCGGCUAACUACGUGCUAGCAGCCGCGGUAAUCUGAGCGGGCUGGCAAGGC
Molecule: ribosomal RNA, 198 nt
Filed under: uncultured bacterium
Lineage: Bacteria
Description: partial 16S ribosomal RNA
Rfam family: Bacterial small subunit ribosomal RNA
Source: RNAcentral